Molecule: ribosomal RNA, 2788 nt
Filed under: Triticum aestivum (bread wheat)
Lineage: Eukaryota; Viridiplantae; Streptophyta; Magnoliopsida; Poales; Poaceae
Description: partial small subunit ribosomal RNA
Source: RNAcentral
ACUUCAAAAGUGGUUUAUUUGUAAAGGUGGUCCAUUCAAACGGAAAAUGGCUCCGAUAUAUAUCGGUAUCGUAUCGUAUGUUCGUCGUUUUCCGUCGUCGCACGCUUGACCACACUCGCAAACGACGAUGAGUUGUUUCUUUAACGAUGGGUAGGUGAUCGUUAGGUUUCUCGGUAACUAGACGUCUAACGUCUUUUACCUCCCUCGUGAACAGUGGAGGUUGAAGUCGUACAGACUAGAGAUGGGGCGGUUUCGUUUACGACGAGUACGAGGCUCUAGCUCCUCCGAGAGGAUGUAGAGGGGACGACGGAGAAGACGACGACGAGGCUUGGGGUCGAUGUCUGCCUCCUUCCCGUGCAGCGGGGGCGGCGGCAGCUGACGGCGGUGGCGGUGGCAGGAGUGGAGCGGCGGGUUCGGCCAGCUCGUCGUUCUCUGCCUUCUCGUGGACCAGCUGUGCAGCUGUUUGUUACGUUGACCAUGUGCUCACCGAUGGCGCUCUUGCUCGUCCCGUUGGCUACGCGGAGCCAGCAGGUCCGGAGCGGCGGCCGGAUGACGAAGCGAUGUCCGCCGCAAGACGUUGCGCGACCUCCUCCGCUAGUUGUGCAAGCAGCUGGGCGGCCACGACGCCGGCAGCCACCUGGGCGCCGUGCACGACAGGCGGUUGAAGCGCGGGCACCUGCUCGACGGCGGGUGCGGGACGGGGCACCACGCGCCGCAGUAGGGCGCGACGGAGCGGCCGCCGCGGAUGUAGGCGUUGCCCGGGUUGGGCGUCGUAGAGGGCGCGCCCGGCGUGGUGGAGAAGCUGCCGCUGCCGUACGACGUGAGAGACGAGGAGGGCUGCCGCGGGCUGAGGCUGGGGCAGGAGACGAGGGCGAUGCACGUCUGCAUGUUCAUGUAGCACCUCGCGUUGCGCCCGCUCGGCCAGAACGGGUUGCAGAAGAGGCCGAAGGUGCCGGACCGGCCCUACCGCGCGCCGCGGCAGUGCCGCCGGUCCCACGACUGUCCGGUCUACUUGGGCUACCUCCCGCACCCCGAGCGGUUGUGGUCGGAGCGGCAGAAGCCGCCGGCGGAGAUGCGCGAGCCGCUUAGCCUGGAGGGCAUGCGGCACGCGCAGCUGGGCCGGUGGCCACUCCACUGGUGCGAGCCAUCCACGCUGAAGCCACCGGCGGAGUCGUACCCGUACUGGCGCGUGGGGUUCUUCCUGGGGUAGUGGCCGCUCGAGAAGCGCAAGGCGAUGCCGGGGUACGGCGGCAAGCAGUGGAUGAAGGCCAAGCUGGGCCGUCCCUUGUUCCCGCGGCUGCACGGGUAGAAGAGGCAGUUCGUCGGCAGAAAGGACGUGCUGAAGCGGCACUGCCUCGUAAUACGCUAUAAGGGCCUCUAUGUCUAGCACUACUUGGGGUACCCGUACCACCACCCGCCGCCGAGCGGGCAGCCCCGCCUGGGGCCGUACCACGGAGCGGAGCCGCACUAGGGGUUCAUGCGGCGCCUGCUCAGCCUCUACGCCACCAAGCUCCACGGCCCCAAGUUGUACUACGUGAGCCACUUGCGCACCCUCCUCCGGCCGCCGCUCCUCUAGCACUACCACCGCGGGUUGUAGGACAGGUAGCUCGUGUGCGACCUCGCGUACCUCGACUAGGUGCGGAGGCACCUCGACCACGCGUAGUUGGAGGCGUGGCCGUUGCAGUGGGCGUGCGGCGAGCGCCGCCGCUUGGAGCUGAAGCCGCACUAGUUGGGCCCGACGGAACCGGCGGCGUUGGCGAUGCCGAUGAAGCCGCACCCGCUGGGGUACGGGUUCUAGCCGCCCCACCGGUUCGAGCUGAAGCUGGCGCGGCCGGUGCCGCUGACGUGGCACCGCGCGGCCCUGAAGCCCGGCCCCACGAAGCGGCCCCUCGGCAAAAAGCAGGGGCUGCUGCAGCUCCCCUUGCCGCUGCUCCUGCUGCCGAUGCACCACACGAUGCACGUGCUGCUCCCGUGGCCGCUGUUGGCCAAGCACCACUACCUGCGCGUCAGCGGGCUCGACCUGUAGCAGCGGCUCCACGUCGAAGGGAGGGCGCAGGGGAUGCCGAAGGUGCCGGACAAGCAGUGCUUCCGGCUCGAGGCCAGUGUCGUAGUUACUAGUAGUCUAAGUCCGUGUGGUGACGGUCUACAAAGGCGCGGUACCUAACUAGCGCGCUACAUAUUAUCAUCUGGUUGUCUCACCACGUACCCAUCCAGUACAUAUCCUAGGGUACUGUAUGUGUAUCCACUUUAACCAUAGAGUACACAUCGUAAAUGUAAAAAUGUUCUUUCUUGAUAGCCACUUUUUGUAUGGACGUCAUGUUUUUUUGUCGGACCUUUUAUGAACGUUGCGUGUAGGUCGGACGUCUUAACGAUUGAGUAACUCAUCAUCAUGCUUUGUUCCCUAAAGUGCCCUAUAUGUAUGAUGACCUAAAGUGCUUCAGCCACCUCGAUGGAACGUAAACCAAUAUCUUAUUAGUUAAGUCGUAGGAGUCACACAACAAUCGGAUCUUUUUGUCGUACUUGUACCGAAGAGAAAACAGAUUUAAUUGGAUUGUCGAGGAUACCUUCUACGGAUCGUCUUCAACGCAUCUGGUUGAAGAGUUCUAAGUACACCGUGUAAGGUUUCGGAUCUUUCCCUAUAUUUCCCGGACCCCGACUCCAAUGGCGGGAAAUACUGAACUCUUCGUGGCAGCGUACCGAGGUUACGCGUAAAAUGUAUUCCAUGAGGUCACCGUCAGUUCAAAAGAGAUGCAGCGCGGGUCCACUGUUACAUAUUUGGUCUCUACUA